This 345-nucleotide ribosomal RNA is filed under the name uncultured bacterium. Its description in RNAcentral is "partial 16S ribosomal RNA". It matches the Rfam family "Bacterial small subunit ribosomal RNA", at positions 338 to 680 of the family's 1533-position model. The record is from RNAcentral.
CCUACGGGUGGCAGCAGUGAGGAAUAUUGGUCAAUGGGCGCAAGCCUGAACCAGCCAAGUCGCGUGAGGGAUGACGGUCCUAUGGAUUGUAAACCUCUUUUGUCGGGGAGCAAGGCCCGCCACGUGUGGCGGGAAGGAGAGUACCCGAAGAAAAAGCAUCGGCUAACUCCGUGCCAGCAGCCGCGGUAAUACGGGGGAUGAGAGCGUUAUCCGGAUUUCGUGGGUUUACAGGGUGCGUAGGCCGAAGGUUAAGUCAGUGGUCCAAUGUCGGUGCUCGACACCGGCCUGUCGUUGACACUGGUCUUCUUGAGUUAGCGAGAAGUAUGAGGAAUGCGUGGUGUAGCG